AGAGUUUGAUCAUGGCUCAGAUUGAACGCUGGCGGAAUGCUUUACACAUGCAAGUCGAACGGCAGCACGGGAGCUUGCUCCUGGUGGCGAGUGGCGAACGGGUGAGUAAUGCGUCGGAACGUACCGAGUAAUGGGGGAUAACGCAGCGAAAGCUGUGCUAAUACCGCAUACGCCCUGAGGGGGAAAGUGGGGGAUCGCAAGACCUCACGUUAUUCGAGCGGCCGACGUCUGAUUAGCUAGUUGGUGGGGUAAAGGCUCACCAAGGCGACGAUCAGUAGCGGGUCUGAGAGGAUGAUCCGUCACACUGGAACUGAGACACGGUCCAGACUCCUACGGGAGGCAGCAGUGGGGAAUUUUGGACAAUGGGGGCAACCCUGAUCCAGCCAUUCCGCGUGAGUGAAGAAGGCCUUCGGGUUGUAAAGCUCUUUCAGCCGGAACGAAACGGUACGCACUAAUAUUGUGUGCUAAUGACGGUACCGGCAGAAGAAGCACCGGCUAACUACGUGCCAGCAGCCGCGGUAAUACGUAGGGUGCGAGCGUUAAUCGGAAUUACUGGGCGUAAAGCGUGCGCAGGCGGAUUGUUAAGCAAGAUGUGAAAUCCCCGGGCUUAACCUGGGAAUGGCAUUUCGAACUGGCAGUCUAGAGUGUGUCAGAGGGGGGUGGAAUUCCACGUGUAGCAGUGAAAUGCGUAGAUAUGUGGAGGAACACCAAUGGCGAAGGCAGCCCCCUGGGAUAACACUGACGCUCAUGUACGAAAGCGUGGGUAGCAAACAGGAUUAGAUACCCUGGUAGUCCACGCCCUAAACGAUGUCAACUGGUUGUUGGGGGAGUGAAAUCCCUUAGUAACGAAGCUAACGCGUGAAGUUGACCGCCUGGGGAGUACGGUCGCAAGAUUAAAACUCAAAUGAAUUGACGG
RNAcentral lists this ribosomal RNA (916 nucleotides) under uncultured bacterium. RNAcentral describes it as "bacterial SSU rRNA". It matches the Rfam family "Bacterial small subunit ribosomal RNA", at positions 8 to 916 of the family's 1533-position model. The record is from RNAcentral.